CUCAAUCUGAUUAGGUCCUCUAGACAAACCAAUGCUCUCCCCGUUCUUUCUGAGAAAUAAAUUAAUACAAAGAACAAAUGAGUGUUGGUUAGAACAUAACAAUAUCAUAAAUAAUUCAUGGUAAGUAGAGUGAUACCCUGAGCAAUGAAGGAGACGGGGCUUAAUAGGUUUCCACUUAGGCGUACUGAAUUUGGGGAAAAUACUGGAGAUGGUUCAGAAGGUUGUGGUAGUUUAAGAGGAAAUGAUUCUGAUGAAGAUAUGUUGAACAUAGCUUUAAAGAGAGAAAUAAGAGAAUUUGAGGGAAUUUGGAAAAAAUGAAAAAGAGGAUGAAAUUACUGUUGAUGAGAAGGUAGAUUGAGACGGGUUUAUUU
Molecule: long non-coding RNA, 371 nt
Filed under: Panax ginseng (ginseng)
Lineage: Eukaryota; Viridiplantae; Streptophyta; Magnoliopsida; Apiales; Araliaceae
Description: long non-coding RNA (PGIN_LNC018940)
Source: RNAcentral